RNAcentral lists this ribosomal RNA (299 nucleotides) under Fibrobacter succinogenes. RNAcentral's name for it is "partial 16S ribosomal RNA". The record is from RNAcentral. Lineage: Bacteria; Pseudomonadati; Fibrobacterota; Fibrobacteria; Fibrobacterales; Fibrobacteraceae.
GGAGUCUGGGCCGUAUCUCAGUCCCAAUGUGGCCGAUCACCCUCUCAGGCCGGCUACCGAUCGUCGCCUUGGUGGGCCGUUGCCCCGCCAACUAGCUAAUCGGACGCAAGCUCAUCCCGCAUCGAUGAAUCUUUCGUCAACCCCGGAUGUCCGGGGCCACGUUAUUCGGUAUUAUCCGCGCGUUGGCACGGCUAUCCCAAUAUGCGGGGCAGAUUGCUUACGCGUUACUCACCCGUUCGCCGCUAUCCAUUGCUGGACCGCUCGACUUGCAUGUGUUAAGCCUGUAGCUAGCGUUCAUC